CGUUCCCCGGACCUUGUACACACCGCCCGUCAAGCCAUGGGAGUCGGGAGGACCUGAAAGGCAGUUUGCUGUGAGGGCGCUGUUUUAGGGGUAAAAACCCGAUGACUAGGGCU
This 113-nucleotide ribosomal RNA is filed under the name uncultured bacterium. RNAcentral's name for it is "partial 16S ribosomal RNA". The record is from RNAcentral.